GGGACAGUGGCACAAGGGGUAACGCGCCUGACUACGGAUCAGGAGAUUUCCUGGUCGAAUUCUGGCUGGCUCGACCCU
Molecule: non-coding RNA, 78 nt
Organism: Caerostris extrusa
Lineage: Eukaryota; Metazoa; Arthropoda; Arachnida; Araneae; Araneidae
Source: the annotation of a GenBank genome assembly